RNAcentral lists this small RNA (24 nucleotides) under Arabidopsis thaliana (thale cress). Its description in RNAcentral is "ATSL239190". The record is from RNAcentral. Lineage: Eukaryota; Viridiplantae; Streptophyta; Magnoliopsida; Brassicales; Brassicaceae.
AAGAAACAACUCUAACAACAAAAA